This 1346-nucleotide ribosomal RNA is filed under the name uncultured bacterium. RNAcentral describes it as "partial 16S ribosomal RNA". It matches the Rfam family "Bacterial small subunit ribosomal RNA", at positions 28 to 1381 of the family's 1533-position model. The record is from RNAcentral.
GACGAACGCUGGCGGCGUGCUUAACACAUGCAAGUCGAACGGAAAGGCCCUGCUUUUGUGGGGUGCUCGAGUGGCGAACGGGUGAGUAACACGUGAGUAACCUGCCCUUGACUUUGGGAUAACUUCAGGAAACUGGGGCUAAUACCGGAUAGGAGCUCCUGCUGCAUGGUGGGGGUUGGAAAGUUUCGGCGGUUGGGGAUGGACUCGCGGCUUAUCAGCUUGUUGGUGGGGUAGUGGCUUACCAAGGCUUUGACGGGUAGCCGGCCUGAGAGGGUGACCGGCCACAUUGGGACUGAGAUACGGCCCAGACUCCUACGGGAGGCAGCAGUGGGGAAUAUUGCACAAUGGGCGGAAGCCUGAUGCAGCAACGCCGCGUGCGGGAUGACGGCCUUCGGGUUGUAAACCGCUUUCGCCCGUGACGAGGCGUGAGUGACGGUAAUGGGUAAAGAAGCACCGGCUAACUACGUGCCAGCGGCCGCGGUGAUACGUAGGGUGCGAGCGUUGUCCGGAUUUAUUGGGCGUAAAGGGCUCGUAGGUGGUUGAUCGCGUCGGAAGUGUAAUCUUGGGGCUUAACCCUGAGCGUGCUUUCGAUACGGGUUGACUUGAGGAAGGUAGGGGAGAAUGGAAUUCCUGGUGGAGCGGUGGAAUGCGCAGAUAUCAGGAGGAACACCAGUGGCGAAGGCGGUUCUCUGGGCCUUUCCUGACGCUGAGGAGCGAAAGCGUGGGGAGCGAACAGGCUUAGAUACCCUGGUAGUCCACGCUGUAAACGGUGGGUACUAGGUGUGGGGUCCAUUCCACGGGUUCCGUGCCGUAGCUAACGCUUUAAGUACCCCGCCUGGGGAGUACGGCCGCAAGGCUAAAACUCAAAGGAAUUGACGGGGCCCCGCACAAGCGGCGGAGCAUGCGGAUUAAUUCGAUGCAACGCGUAGAACCUUACCUGGGUUUGACAUGGAUCGGGAGUGCUCAGAGAUGGGUGUGCCUCUUUUGGGGUCGGUCCACAGGUGGUGCAUGGCUGUCGUCAGCUCGUGUCGUGAGAUGUUGGGUUAAGUCCCGCAACGAGCGCAACCCUUGUUCACUGUUGCCAGCACGUUAUGGUGGGGACUCAGUGGAGACCGCCGGGGUCAACUCGGAGGAAGGUGGGGAUGACGUCAAGUCAUCAUGCCCCUUAUGUCCAGGGCUUCACGCAUGCUACAAUGGCUGGUACAGAGAGUGGCGAGCCUGUGAGGGUGAGCGAAUCUCGGAAAGCCGGUCUCAGUUCGGAUUGGGGUCUGCAACUCGACCUCAUGAAGUCGGAGUCGCUAGUAAUCGCAGAUCAGCAACGCUGCGGUGAAUACGUUCCCGGGGCU